GCACAGGAAGACCAGGAAGCAGAGACAGAACCCAAAAAGGAGACAGAAAGCGAACCAGAAGACAACCUCGAUGAUCUAGAGAAGCACCUGCGAGAGAAGGCCCUGAGGUCGAUGAGGAAGGCGCAAGUGUCACCACCAUCCUAGGCUGAAUCCUUUGAUAUAAUGUACAUUUUAUUUGGUUUGUACUCAGAAUUCAAUUUCAAAUUGCUAAAUGUGUUUGAGCUUUAGAAUAUAACAUUUGUUGUAAUAAUUGCUAGGUUGAGGUUCACCAUGUACAAAGGGCAUGGAUUUUCAUUACAAAAGGUGUCCACAGUGUACUAGUGACAUUCUUUCAUUGACAGUCAACAUAAUUUCAUUUAGAGUGAGACUUUUUAGAAGCGGUAGGAAUUUGUUUUGAAGGUUUUAAACAUGACCGUCGGUUCCCUCGUUUCUUUGGAACUCAGCAAAGCCUUUAGCAUAAUCCGUGAGGGUCUCAUUGGACUUCUUUUGUCUCCACUGACGUUACGCUACUAACCCUUGUGGUUUGUAAGCUUGCCCAAAGUAAAACCACUGCAGAAUUCCCAAGGAAGAACAUCUAUUUUAAUGCUUUCUACUGUUGCCUGUAUAGUCUCCAUUAAAGCGAACCAAGAAUAGCAGUUUAGAAUGGUACAUAAAUGAAAGCAUGUUGUUUACCAGGACACUGUGGGUUUAUAUGGAUGUAACAUGUUGAUUUGGAACACUGGAAUUUCAUUUGUAUUUUUAUGUUCUUUUUUUAAAGGGCAGUUUCCAUGAUCAGCAGUCCCAGAAAAAAAAAAAAAUUCCUUCGGUUCCAUCAAUUUUGUUUGUGAGAUGUCGUUGCCCCAUUCAUAAAUCUUGUCUCGUUAUGGUUCUUCUGAAUGGUAUAAGCAACUUUCAGAGAUGUGGUCUUUGAAAGUUGGAGGAACCUGAACUUUGGAUAUUGUCAUGUUUUCACUGUUUUUUGUUUUUGUUUUUUUAACUAAAGCUAUAUAAAGCUUGUGGAUUAAACAAAAUAAAUUUCUAAAUUUAAACAGA
This is a non-coding RNA of Leptosomus discolor (cuckoo roller), 1032 nucleotides long. The record is from RefSeq and is a predicted model, not a curated record. Lineage: Eukaryota; Metazoa; Chordata; Aves; Leptosomiformes; Leptosomidae.